Molecule: non-coding RNA, 74 nt
Organism: Ameiurus melas (black bullhead)
Lineage: Eukaryota; Metazoa; Chordata; Actinopteri; Siluriformes; Ictaluridae
Source: the annotation of a GenBank genome assembly
GGCAGUGGUAGCUUAGUGGUUAAGACGUUGGUCAAUUUAUCAGAAGGUCAUGAGUUCAAAUCCCAGCACUGCCA